GGGUUGUGAGGUUAAGCGACUAAGCGUACACGGUGGAUGCCCUGGCAGUCAGAGGCGAUGAAGGACGUGCUAAUCUGCGAUAAGCGUCGGUAAGGUGAUAUGAACCGUUAUAACCGGCGAUUUCCGAAUGGGGAAACCCAGUGUGUUUCGACACACUAUCAUUAACUGAAUCCAUAGGUUAAUGAGGCGAACCGGGGGAACUGAAACAUCUAAGUACCCCGAGGAAAAGAAAUCAACCGAGAUUCCCCCAGUAGCGGCGAGCGAACGGGGAGCAGCCCAGAGCCUGAAUCAGUGUGUGUGUUAGUGGAAGCGUCUGGAAAGGCGCGCGAUACAGGGUGACAGCCCCGUACACAAAAAUGCACAUGCUGUGAGCUCGAUGAGUAGGGCGGGACACGUGGUAUCCUGUCUGAAUAUGGGGACCAUCCUCCAAGGCUAAAUACUCCUGACUGACCGAUAGUGAACCAGUACCGUGAGGGAAAGGCGAAAAGAACCCCGGCGAGGGGAGUGAAAAAGAACCUGAAACCGUGUACGUACAAGCAGUGGGAGCACGCUUAGGCGUGUGACUGCGUACCUUUGUAUAAUGGGUCAGCGACUUAUAUUCUGUAGCAAGGUUAACCGAAUAGGGGAGCCGAAGGGAAACCGAGUCUUAACUGGGCGUUAAGUUGCAGGGUAUAGACCCGAAACCCGGUGAUCUAGCCAUGGGCAGGUUGAAGGUUGGGUAACACUAACUGGAGGACCGAACCGACUAAUGUUGAAAAAUUAGCGGAUGACUUGUGGCUGGGGUGAAAGGCCAAUCAAACCGGGAGAUAGCUGGUUCUCCCCGAAAGCUAUUUAGGUAGCGCCUCGUGAAUUCAUCUCCGGGGUAGAGCACUGUUUCGGCAAGGGGUCAUCCCGACUUACCAACCCGAUGCAAACUGCGAAUACCGGAGAAUGUUAUCACGGGAGACACACGGCGGGUGCUAACGUCCGUCGUGAAGAGGGAAACAACCCAGACCGCCAGCUAAGGUCCCAAAGUCAUGGUUAAGUGGGAAACGAUGUGGGAAGGCCCAGACAGCCAGGAUGUUGGCUUAGAAGCAGCCAUCAUUUAAAAGAAAGCGUAAUAGCUCACUGGUCGAGUCGGCCUGCGCGGAAGAUGUAACGGGGCUAAACCAUGCACCGAAGCUGCGGCAGCGACGCUUAUGCGUUGUUGGGUAGGGAGCGUUCUGUAAGCCUGUGAAGGUGUGCUGUGAGGCAUGCUGGAGGUAUCAGAAGUGCGAAUGCUGACAUAAGUAACGAUAAAGCGGGUGAAAAGCCCGCUCGCCGGAAGACCAAGGGUUCCUGUCCAACGUUAAUCGGGGCAGGGUGAGUCGACCCCUAAGGCGAGGCCGAAAGGCGUAGUCGAUGGGAAACAGGUUAAUAUUCCUGUACUUGGUGUUACUGCGAAGGGGGGACGGAGAAGGCUAUGUUGGCCGGGCGACGGUUGUCCCGGUUUAAGCGUGUAGGCUGGUUUUCCAGGCAAAUCCGGAAAAUCAAGGCUGAGGCGUGAUGACGAGGCACUACGGUGCUGAAGCAACAAAUGCCCUGCUUCGGGGAAAAACCUCUAAGCAUCAGGUAACAUCAAAUCGUACCCCAAACCGACACAGGUGGUCAGGUAGAGAAUACCAAGGCGCUUGAGAGAACUCGGGUGAAGGAACUAGGCAAAAUGGUGCCGUAACUUCGGGAGAAGGCACGCUGAUAUGUAGGUGAAGUCCCUCGCGGAUGGAGCUGAAAUCAGUCGAAGAUACCAGCUGGCUGCAACUGUUUAUUAAAAACACAGCACUGUGCAAACACGAAAGUGGACGUAUACGGUGUGACGCCUGCCCGGUGCCGGAAGGUUAAUUGAUGGGGUCAGCGCAAGCGAAGCUCUUGAUCGAAGCCCCGGUAAACGGCGGCCGUAACUAUAACGGUCCUAAGGUAGCGAAAUUCCUUGUCGGGUAAGUUCCGACCUGCACGAAUGGCGUAAUGAUGGCGGGCUGUCUCCACCCGAGACUCAGUGAAAUUGAACUCGCUGUGAAGAUGCAGUGUACCCGCGGCAAGACGGAAAGACCCCGUGAACCUUUACUAUAGCUUGACACUGAACAUUGAGCCUUGAUGUGUAGGAUAGGUGGGAGGCUUAGAAGUGUGGACGCCAGUCUGCAUGGAGCCGACCUUGAAAUACCACCCUUUAAUGUUUGAUGUUCUAACGUUGACCCGUAAUCCGGGUUGCGGACAGUGUCUGGUGGGUAGUUUGACUGGGGCGGUCUCCUCCUAAAGAGUAACGGAGGAGCACGAAGGUUGGCUAAUCCUGGUCGGACAUCAGGAGGUUAGUGCAAUGGCAUAAGCCAGCUUGACUGCGAGCGUGACGGCGCGAGCAGGUGCGAAAGCAGGUCAUAGUGAUCCGGUGGUUCUGAAUGGAAGGGCCAUCGCUCAACGGAUAAAAGGUACUCCGGGGAUAACAGGCUGAUACCGCCCAAGAGUUCAUAUCGACGGCGGUGUUUGGCACCUCGAUGUCGGCUCAUCACAUCCUGGGGCUGAAGUAGGUCCCAAGGGUAUGGCUGUUCGCCAUUUAAAGUGGUACGCGAGCUGGGUUUAGAACGUCGUGAGACAGUUCGGUCCCUAUCUGCCGUGGGCGCUGGAGAACUGAGGGGGCUGCUCCUAGUACGAGAGGACCGGAGUGGACGCAUCACUGGUGUUCGUUGUCAUGCCAAUGGCACUGCCCGGUAGCUAAAUGCGGAAGAGAUAAGUGCUGAAAGCAUCUAAGCACGAAACUUGCCCCGAGAUGAGUUCUCCCUGACUCCUUGAGAGUCCUGAAGGAACGUUGAAGACGACGACGUUGAUAGGCCGGGUGUGUAAGCGCAGCGAUGCGUUGAGCUAACCGGUACUAAUGAACCGUGAGGCUUAACCUUACAACGCCGAAGCUGUU
Molecule: ribosomal RNA, 2920 nt
Filed under: Escherichia coli
Lineage: Bacteria; Pseudomonadati; Pseudomonadota; Gammaproteobacteria; Enterobacterales; Enterobacteriaceae
Description: 23S ribosomal RNA
Rfam family: Bacterial large subunit ribosomal RNA
Source: RNAcentral